GCUCCAAUAGCGUAUAUUAAUGUUGUUGCAGUUAAAAAGCUCGUAGUUGAAUUUCUGGUCUCAACUUUCGGUCCGAGGCCUUCGUGCCUUGUGUACUGUUUCUGUUGAGACCAUCUUAGUGGUGAACGUAUCUGGCAUUAAGUUGUCGGGUGCUUUAACCGCUUCGUUUACUGUGAAUAAAAUAGAGUGUUUAAAGCAGG
RNAcentral lists this ribosomal RNA (200 nucleotides) under uncultured eukaryote. RNAcentral describes it as "partial 18S ribosomal RNA". It matches the Rfam family "Eukaryotic small subunit ribosomal RNA", at positions 588 to 784 of the family's 1831-position model. The record is from RNAcentral.